GGUCGGGUGGCCGAGUGGUUAGGCAAAGGUACGCAAUACCUUUUAGAUAGGUUCGAAUCCUCUUCCGACCU
RNAcentral lists this transfer RNA (71 nucleotides) under Dysgonomonas mossii DSM 22836. It matches the Rfam family "tRNA". From Rfam's summary of the family: Transfer RNA (tRNA) molecules are approximately 80 nucleotides in length. Their secondary structure includes four short double-helical elements and three loops (D, anti-codon, and T loops). Further hydrogen bonds mediate the characteristic L-shaped molecular structure. tRNAs have two regions of fundamental functional importance: the anti-codon, which is responsible for specific mRNA codon recognition, and the 3' end, to which the tRNAs corresponding amino acid is attached (by aminoacyl-tRNA synthetases). tRNAs cope with the degeneracy of the genetic code in two manners: having more than one tRNA (with a specific anti-codon) for a particular amino acid; and 'wobble' base-pairing, i.e. permitting non-standard base-pairing at the 3rd anti-codon position. The record is from Rfam by way of RNAcentral. Lineage: Bacteria; Pseudomonadati; Bacteroidota; Bacteroidia; Bacteroidales; Dysgonomonadaceae.